UUAUGUGAAGAAGGCAGAACAGCAUGGAAGGUUUUUUGUGUCUCGUGUCCACGAAAUACAGCCAGAUCGACACUAAACCAUGCUGCACACCUAGAAAACUGAUUUUAGGAUUAACACAACAAUCUGCACAACCUGAACCA
Long non-coding RNA from Lynx canadensis (Canada lynx), 140 nucleotides. RefSeq lists it as uncharacterized. The transcript is spliced from 3 exons. Lineage: Eukaryota; Metazoa; Chordata; Mammalia; Carnivora; Felidae. The record is from RefSeq and is a predicted model, not a curated record.